AUACUAUUACUUCCGUUUCAAAAAAAUUGUCUUAGAUUUGUCUAAAUAUAAAUGUAUCUAGUCAUGUUUUAGUAUUUAGAUACAUUCAUUUUUAGAUAAACCUAAGACAAGAAUUUUGGGACGGAGGGAGUAUAAG
RNAcentral lists this microRNA precursor (136 nucleotides) under Hordeum vulgare. RNAcentral describes it as "microRNA MIR1122". It matches the Rfam family "MIR1120/MIR1122 microRNA precursor family". Lineage: Eukaryota; Viridiplantae; Streptophyta; Magnoliopsida; Poales; Poaceae. The record is from RNAcentral.